CUGCAGAUGGGAUUCCUGGUCUUCGGGCUGUUGUGAUUCAGCUCUGCCAUUUUCUGCGAAUUAAGCCAAUUUAUAUGCAGUCAGAGUACAAAGCAUCAUUGAGAAACGACGGCCAAAAAAAAAGAAAGAAACACAAGCUAUGGAAAUUAACAAUUGAUUAUGAAAAUAUUCUUUUUUAAUUGCUGGGCGGAAUAUUGAAAUAUUGGAGGGCUGGCUGCCGCACUUCAUUAGCGCGCAAAAUUCGCAAUGUUCGGAAAUUGUUUCCCAUUAGCAAAGGAUGCAGCAUGUAGGGUAAAAACUCCCGGCCGCUAAGCCUUUAUGCAUUUGAUGGCUUUGUGACGUUGGAACGGCAGUCUUGCCACAUGUGGGCUGGCUUAUGAGCAAAACUUUUGGCCCGCACCAACUCGUUAGACAAAUUGAAAAUGUUGCCGUCAAUUGGCGCUUUAAGCAAAGCACAACAGUUUUCCGUGUUAAAGAGAGAACGUUUUUUAAUAAGGUUCCAACUAGAGCCAUUUACUCAUAUUUCUGUAGAAGUAAAUUCCCUUUUCAAGAGAAUUACUUAUACAACCAGUGGUCAAAAUAUAGGAUGUUUUUUUUCCAUGAACAAGAUAAUUGCUUUUGGUAUAAUAUUAAAGCUUAAAUAUAUACUAUCACCACGCCCAGCUACUAAGCCAUUCCCUUUUUCCCCGUCUCAUAAAUCCUCGGAGCAAGCAAAUUUGAUAUUCCUUGUAUCUUUGCAUCUCACAAACGCCAGCUGUCCGAGUCCUGCCUUGUUGCUCAUAAUUCAAUAUUUAUUUGCGCAUAUUAAAAAUACUUCUGCCAUAGAGUUCAAAGAGCAAACAGCGAGCCGACAAAUAUAUGAACAGAAACUUACUGAAUAAAUAUUUUUGCAAUAAAGAGCAUAAACUUACACAGACACAGCUGUGUGCGUGUUUGCAUGUCCGAAAAGGAGAAAAUAGUAGUCUGAAACUAGAAUUCACCGCAUGCACAUGUCAGAGCCAAGAUGUACUGGAUAGAAUCUUUUGUAUUCUUGACCAAGCUUAUUUAUUCUGUUGCAUGUUUGCCCUGCUUAAGCAAAGGACAAACAAAUGAAUCUCAAUUUUAAAAUAGAUUCCAUUUGCAGAGCCAUUCAAGUGGAAAUUGCACAGAGCAAAUAAGCGCUUUUAUACUCUUGAUUUAAAUAUUGGCCAAACCACUCGAAGCUUUGGUAACCAGCUAACCUACAAAAUUGUUACCUGACCGCAUCUUGGCACCCGAGAAAAUCUAAUAAGCAAAUGCCUGUCAACGAGCCUUCUACCUACGUACAUACAUAAUGCUGCUAUGUACUAUGGGUAAAGGCAAAAAAAGGAAUCACAUAAGAAGCCAUCCAGCGGCAAAGAAAACUUUUUGGGCCCCACAAAAAAGGAUGACAGCCCACAAGUAAGCCAACCAGCCAGAGUGCAGAGCACUCAUCGAUCCAUUAAAACCCAAAGUCUGCACACGAAAACGAAAAAUGGCAAAUGGCAGCAGAAGCAGUAGGAGUAGCAGGAGCAACAUCAGCGUCAGCAAAAGCAUCCCAAAAAGGACUCAAGGACUCGUAGGUGGAUGCGGCAUAUUUGCAGCUGCGGCCGCAGACCGGAGCGCCUGAUGAGGUUAAGCUGCCAGGGCAUGAGCACCAGGUAGUCAAGGUUGCCAUGCCAACGAGAGCAUUUGUGUGCGUUGCCCAUACGCCAUGUUGUGCGCAGACCGACAAGUGGGGUUUGGGUCGUAGCUGUGAGGGCUAUAAAAGCCGUUGCCAUGUACAGCCCGCCGCAGAGAUGUCUCGCCGUUGCCGUUGCCAGGUACACCUCUACAUCCAAUCGCAUCCUAUCCUAUCCUUUCCAUUAUCCUGUCAUGGGUCCUGGGCGACUCUCAAGUGGUUGCCGGCUUCAACAUUGUUUGCCCUGCCCCGUGCAAGUUGGCAAAACUGUUGGAAAAAGUAACAUUUCAGUCGACCCGGGAACUGAAGCGCUCAAGUGCCAAACAAGAUUUAAAGUUUGAUUAGUUGUAAAAUAGAAGAAGAGGGAUUAAAAAAUUCUGAUAGAAUUCUAUCUAAUACAUUUAUAUUUCAAAUAAAAUGUAUAUUUUACCCUUUAAUUCUCUUUAUGAACUGAAGCAAACAUAAGGGACAAUUUAAAUGUUUAAAUGUAUGAAAAUAUUUGUGGAUGUAUACUAAAAUAAUAUGAUUUUAAAUAAUAAUUUAGUUUACUCCUAUAUAUAUCUCUCAUCUAUAUCUUAUCUUAUCUUCUUAUAAUAUUGUUACUUAAAAAAGGUUUAAAAAUGUAAUUCGAAACUAAUAACAUUAUAAGUAGCCACAACAUAAAAUUGUUAUUUUUGAAAUAUACUACAAAAAGCACGGUUUUAAUAAAAUGUUGUAUUAUUUCCUUUUCCGAUUCCCCAAAUUUCUCUCAGUGUUUGCAAUGGCGCCUGCGCCAUUUGUCUCGCUGGAAAAAACAUGGCUGCGCUCACGGCCAACAGGCACUCGCACACAGGCACCGGUGCAGGUCCCCAAGCACACCCGCACACCCACACACACACCCGCACACAUCAGCUGAAGACAGACAAAGGCCAUUUCCCCUUAACAAAUGAGCAAAUACAGGCACACACUCACCCACACACACGUACACAGCGAGAGAGCAAUUUCUUCUCCGAAGUGUUUUGCUCACAGUCAUGCAAACGAUUUUCAACACAUUUACAAUUACUGUAAAUGUGUGCAAAAUUUCAGACCCACACCCAUACAUCCACGGCUUGCUCUGUGUGUAUAUAUGUACAUACAUACAUUGUGUGGGAGUGAGCCAUUAGGGAGUGGGUAUCUGUGUGUCUGUGUGCAAAGUGAACAUUCGAUUUUACCGGUUGUUGCUUUUUGCCGGCUUCUUGCCACCACUGGGGAGUGGCGGGAGAUGCGAAUGCCAAAAAAAUGUGGGUCGGGGGGCACAAUGGAGGGGCAGCGAACCCCAAGGGUUUUGGGGUUCAUACACCGCUCUCUGACUCUUUCUUCUCGUUGUUUUGGGCAUUUGAAUUCUCCUCCUUUCUGGUUUUUUUUCUUUUCCACUGUGGCAUGAUGUUUGCCUCUUGUCCUGUUUCGAUUUCUCGGCAAAGCCACUCCAGGACUGCGAUGGUCCAUCACCAUCUAUCUAACUACUGGUCAGGUCCGGGACAUCCCCACGGAAAUACGUUUGCAGCAUGCUGAUGCCGAGCGAUUUAUUAUGGCCAAGAUAAUGAUGCUUCUGCCAGCAUGGUUCAUUGGUGGAAAAAACAGCGAGCAUCAGUACAUGUUGCUCCACCAAUCGAUCUGUAUCUCUGCCAGUGUGUGUGUGCUGUGGGUGUGAGACCCUCUCUCUCUGUGGUCGUUGUUUCUGGCAUACUAAUGGCCGGCCAGACGCCAUUGGAAACACCAAUACAAAGGCACUUAAAUCGCAACGCGAUGGCCGCCAUUGUUGUGGCCGCGUUGGCGUGGCGCGAAAACAACAAAAGCGACGAUAAACGGGCACCAAAUACACUUUUCGACAAAUUUGACAAUUUUUAAUUUAAUAUAAAACUAGAUAGCACCUGUUUCAU
Long non-coding RNA from Drosophila yakuba, 3576 nucleotides. RefSeq lists it as uncharacterized. The transcript has 2 exons. NCBI's taxonomy places the organism in Eukaryota, Metazoa, Arthropoda, Insecta, Diptera, Drosophilidae. The record is from RefSeq and is a predicted model, not a curated record.